Molecule: ribosomal RNA, 254 nt
Filed under: uncultured bacterium
Lineage: Bacteria
Description: partial 16S ribosomal RNA
Rfam family: Bacterial small subunit ribosomal RNA
Source: RNAcentral
UACGGGGGGAGCAAGCGUUGUUCGGAUUUACUGGGCGUAAAGGGCGCGUAGGCGGUCAGUGCAAGUCAGUUGUGAAAUCUCCGGGCUUAACUCGGAAAGGUCAACUGAUACUGCUCGACUAGAGUGCGGAAGGGGCAACUGGAAUUCUUGGUGUAGCGGUGAAAUGCGUAGAUAUCAAGAGGAACACCUGCGGCGAAGGCGGGUUGCUGGGCCGACACUGACGCUGAUGCGCGAAAGCUAAGGGAGCGAACGGG